Molecule: unclassified non-coding RNA, 712 nt
Filed under: Hevea brasiliensis (rubber tree)
Lineage: Eukaryota; Viridiplantae; Streptophyta; Magnoliopsida; Malpighiales; Euphorbiaceae
Source: RNAcentral
CGCGGUUCCGCUGAUUUGCCUUGUUUUUGGGAGACUGGAGGAAUCGCUUUCUUGAGCCUUUUCCAUCUCAAAAUGAAUGCCAAAAAAAGUGCUGCAUGUUAUAGCUAUGAUGAACGAAGAUAAGAGAAGUAGAUCAACCACCGAUGAAGGAGUCUUUUCUUUUGGGACCUUCUUCUCUCGGCGAACAACCAACUUUUCGGAGGCAGCACCGCCAUUCUUCUCCGAGGAAACAAAGAUGUGGUUGAAACACAUCAGAAAAACAAGAAACACAACGCAGGUUAAUGCGGUUAAGGCAGCCAUCCAAAGAGGACUUUCUAGUCCAUGCACCGCAUAAUUGGAAAUUUUUGUGUCGAAGUUAACUGUUUGUAUUACAGAAAAAUCAUUUAGUAAUUCUCCCAAGCUUGCAUUAGACUUCUCUUCUUGGGUCACAAAAACUUUCAGCUUUAGAUUCAAUUGUUUGGAUGAAGACUGGUUUAGAAGUAGAGAAGAUAUUGAGUUCAACAGACAAAUUUCUUGGGACUUUUUCACUACGUAAAUAAGCUGUAUUUGUGUUGGGAAUCUGUAUCUGCUGCUGCUGCUGCUGCUUUUGNNNNNNUUCCUUUAAGAUGCUCAGAAAUGGGGUUAUCCCAAUUCCGCCUGCGAUCAGGACUAGGUUGUCAUAUCUCAGGAAGUCCAGUGAGGCGGGUCCAUAGGGGCCUUCAAUUGCUGCAGG